UUUUGAAGGGAGUUAGGCGCUUUUGAAGUUGGAGGCGAGAGAGUGAGAGACAGCAGAGAAAACGGAGACAGUCGUUUUCCCUGCCGUCUCUCACUCUCUCAUCUCCAACUUUAAAGGCGCAUAACUCGCUUAAAAA
This 136-nucleotide small RNA is filed under the name Caenorhabditis brenneri. Its description in RNAcentral is "sRNA CBN34330". Lineage: Eukaryota; Metazoa; Nematoda; Chromadorea; Rhabditida; Rhabditidae. The record is from RNAcentral.